Molecule: small nucleolar RNA, 107 nt
Filed under: Cephalotus follicularis
Lineage: Eukaryota; Viridiplantae; Streptophyta; Magnoliopsida; Oxalidales; Cephalotaceae
Description: Plant small nucleolar RNA R71
Rfam family: Plant small nucleolar RNA R71
About the family: R71 is a member of the C/D box family of snoRNAs containing the C (UGAUGA) and D (CUGA) box motifs. Multiple nearly identical copies of this snoRNA have been identified in Arabidopsis, and it is thought to function as a 2'-O-ribose methylation guide for 18S ribosomal RNA.
Source: Rfam by way of RNAcentral
AAACCAUGAUGAGGAUACUCUAAGAGAAAGUCUUUAAAAUGCUCCAUACAUCGAUAAAAUGAUUCAUUGGGACGCUGAUGAAACUGAAUAAUGUCGUUCCUAAGUUU